Transfer RNA from Pneumocystis murina B123, 98 nucleotides. It matches the Rfam family "tRNA". Rfam says of the family: Transfer RNA (tRNA) molecules are approximately 80 nucleotides in length. The record is from Rfam. Lineage: Eukaryota; Fungi; Ascomycota; Pneumocystomycetes; Pneumocystales; Pneumocystaceae.
GGGAAGAUGUCCGAGUGGUUAUGGAGUCACGUUCAGGUCGUACUUUUAUGUGAUUCGUGAUAGCGAAAGCUGCGUGGGUUCGAAUCCCACUCUUCCCA